RNAcentral lists this microRNA (22 nucleotides) under Capitella teleta. RNAcentral's name for it is "Cte-Mir-31_3p* (star (passenger))". The record is from RNAcentral. Lineage: Eukaryota; Metazoa; Annelida; Polychaeta; Capitellidae.
AGCUCUGUCGCAUAUUGCCCCC